UUUAAGUACAGUCAUAGUUUUCCGCGUCCAAUUUUGAUCGUCUGUCUUAUUUAAAUAUUUUUUUAAAAAAAUAAAAACAUAAGUCAUAAGUAAAUUACUAUUCAUAUUUUAUCAUCUCAUAACAAGAAAAAUACUAAUUUAAAAAAAUUAUAAAUAAGACGAACGAUCAAAGUUGAGCACGAAAACU
RNAcentral lists this microRNA precursor (187 nucleotides) under Oryza sativa Indica Group (long-grained rice). Its description in RNAcentral is "MIR812 microRNA precursor family". It matches the Rfam family "MIR812 microRNA precursor family". Lineage: Eukaryota; Viridiplantae; Streptophyta; Magnoliopsida; Poales; Poaceae. The record is from Rfam by way of RNAcentral.